ACUAUGACUCUCUUAAGGUA
Molecule: non-coding RNA, 20 nt
Filed under: Arabidopsis thaliana (thale cress)
Lineage: Eukaryota; Viridiplantae; Streptophyta; Magnoliopsida; Brassicales; Brassicaceae
Also listed under: 1 other name
Source: RNAcentral